Molecule: non-coding RNA, 564 nt
Organism: Peromyscus maniculatus bairdii (prairie deer mouse)
Lineage: Eukaryota; Metazoa; Chordata; Mammalia; Rodentia; Cricetidae
Source: RefSeq, a predicted model, not a curated record
GUCCACAGGGAGUCAUGGCAACACUCUUCCAGCAAACGAAACUUGCAGACAGUGCGGCAUGACUCCUGAGGUUGUCCUGAGACCAUGAAAGGCACAGAGCCCUGCAGAUGAUCAAAUCGAGAAACACAGUGAAGGACAGGACAUCAGAGCAAGAGAGCUGGUGGGCAGAGCCUGGUCCUGGGGAGUGGCAUUUUGGACUGACAUGUAUGUGAGUCCGCGCAGUUUCGCUAGUGAAAGAUGCAGUGAGAUAAUUCGGGUCAAGUGCGGACAGGUCAUCUCUUUCUGGAAGCCGGCUGGUAAGAGCACAGGCCACUUCCUCCUCUGGAUCCAGGUGGGCAAGCUGAUGGAGGCCAGGUUCCAGAUACAUGGCUGGCUGCGUUCGAAUUAAUUACAUGCCGUUUCUUAAUUAUACUAGAAACUCGCUUUCUGCCCUUUGAAAAACUCUCCCCUGUAUGGGAAUUUUUCUUUUACACUCUGUUCCCUUGGCUCCUUGUCUGAUUUUUUUUUUCUUUCUCUACUGUCCAAUAGAGGUGUGGGAAAAAAAAAUUGAAAUCUAUGUCUCAA